Molecule: ribosomal RNA, 483 nt
Filed under: uncultured bacterium
Lineage: Bacteria
Description: partial 16S ribosomal RNA
Rfam family: Bacterial small subunit ribosomal RNA
Source: RNAcentral
GACGAACGCUGGCGGCGUGCUUAACACAUGCAAGUCGAACGCUGAGGCUCAGCUUUUGUUGGGUGGAUGAGUGGCGAACGGGUGAGUAACACGUGAGUAACCUGCCUCCUUCUUUGGGAUAACGCCCGGAAACGGGUGCUAAUACUGGAUAUUCACUGGUCUUCGCAUGGGGGUUGGUGGAAAGGGUUUUUCUGGUGGGGGAUGGGCUCGCGGCCUAUCAGCUUGUUGGUGGGGUGAUGGCCUACCAAGGCUUUGACGGGUAGCCGGCCUGAGAGGGUGACCGGUCACAUUGGGACUGAGAUACGGCCCAGACUCCUACGGGAGGCAGCAGUGGGGAAUAUUGCACAAUGGGCGCAAGCAUGAUGCAGCGACGCCGCGUGAGGGAUGGAGGCCUUCGGGUUGUGAACCUCUUUCGCUCAUGGUCAAGCCGCAACAAUGGUUGUGGUGAGGGUAGUGGGUAAAGAAGCGCCGGCUAACUACGUG